Long non-coding RNA from Alexandromys fortis (reed vole), 3821 nucleotides. RefSeq lists it as uncharacterized. The transcript is spliced from 2 exons. The record is from RefSeq and is a predicted model, not a curated record. Lineage: Eukaryota; Metazoa; Chordata; Mammalia; Rodentia; Cricetidae.
GAACCUACACUACAGAAGGAGAGAACUGAACUCCCCAGAUGGUCCUGAUUGCCACAACCUAGGCCAUGGACAUUCACACACUUACAGAGACACAUCAAAUAAAAGGAGUUAAAAAAAAUCGGAGGAAAAAAAUUUUUUUUUCUUGGCAAUACUGGUGACUGAAUUUAAGGCCCCAGGAAUAGUAGGGAAACUCACUACUCAUCCAGUUGGUAACGGCUUGAAGGUUUCCCUCAGAGUCACUUAGGACCUCGGCAUGCUCCCUUGCUUUCAGGAUGCUCAACAGAGAAAUCCUAAUCGGAGGAACCUAAAAGCACGCUCCCUGCUUUCAGCUGCGAAAUUCGGCUGCCCUGCACACUGGACUCCACGGGAGCAUUUCCUCACUUCUUUUCUGGGCGGCCGGAAACGAGCGAGCGAGCAGUCUCCACUUACACGAGGGUCACAUUAUCUUUAGCACUUAUUUUUUUUUGCCUUCUUCCAUAUUUAUAUUAUAUUUAAGGCACUAUAGAACAUGGUCUUUUAUUAAGCUCAUCUGUUAGAGAAGGUUGAAAAUACCUCCAAAGGAUCUUGGAAGUUUCAGGCAGAUUCAGAAAAAUAGUUCUCAAGUCUUUCUUGAGAGUGGUACCUGGUAAAGAUGUGUAGAGACGUGAAGGGCAAAAUCACACGGAAUCUCGUCCUGGAUUGCUUUACCCUGCUGUGGUUUCCCCCCGUUUUGGUAAUUAUCAAUAUUUUCGUAGUCCAGAUACCCCCCCCCCCACCGUGGAAUCAGAUAUUUCAGACAAAAUGGAAAGAACUCGCAGUGUGACUUUGGGAAAUGAACAACCUUUCGAAAAGGUAAUGAAGGGGAUGCAAAGUGUCUCUAACCCGAAAUGUAGCAGGUGCCUGGCGGACUUAAUGGGGUUCUAACGAUCAACCUGCGAAGGCAAAACUCGGGCGCUCCGAUCGUGUCUUUGCCGGUUCGCGGAGCAGCGCCUGAGCUCCCACCGCCUACUACGCAGAGACCCAGCCCAGGCACCUUCUCCCGUAAAUGUCCACCGACUGAAAAUACGUUGUAAGUCCACCCUCCCGACCCCCCUCCUUCAAGACCUCCCCUUUAAAGGGAGCCACCGAGUGACGCCGGGGGAGUUUGCGGAAGCGCCUACCGCGUUGGGCCCUUGGGCGGAUCCCGUGAUUGGAGUCGGCCCCGCCCCCGGCCCCGCUUCCUCCAUUGUGUGAGCUCCUAGACCGAGGCCCCGCCCCCGCCCCGCCUCCGGAGGCCCGGUCCCGCCCCUCUUUGCCUCACCCGCCCCCCCCAUCUUGGCUCAUUUCCGGCCGCCGCCGCUACCGCUAUCCUGUAAGGAGGAUUCGGCAGAGGCAAGAAACAACAGCCGCCAUCUUGUUUGUGUGCUAGGCUGGGGGGGAAGAGAGAGCGAGAGGGACCGAGCGUACAAGCGGGACGCCCGGCUGAGUGCGAACUGCGGGAGCAGGGAGCGCGGAGGGGACCGGGCCGGAGAGCAGCGGCCUCGGUCGAGACAUUGGCAGGGGGCCCGGGGCGCACAGGCUGAGGCGACCCCCAGCCCCCUCCUGCCCGCACACACCCCCACCGCGGCCCGGGCCGGCGUCGACGCCUAAGGGGGAGACCAUUACAUAAGCCCGAGCCCCGCGGCGCCUUUGCCCGCCGUCCAGGGCGGCCCCGAGCCGAGCCCCGGGGGGGGGGGGCGGGAGCUCCCGGCACCUGGCUGCCCGGGUGAGGGCCGGAGAGGCGGCCCCUACGUGUUUCUCCGCCGCGGGCUUGCGGGCGGAGGCGGAGAGCGCGGCGCGCGGGGAGGCCGCGUCGGUGGGCUCGGCGUCAGCGCGGGCUUGCGGGCGGGCGGCCCUACUCGGCCCGGCCCCCCUGGCCCUCCGGGCCGGCGAGCUUCACGCUCGGCGUUGUCGCCGCGCCUCCGCCGUUCGCUGCGCUAUGUGAGGCGGCGGCGGCGCCAGUCUGGCUCUCGGCUCGGCUGAGCUCAGUGCGGCCAUUAGGGGCCGGUGCGGCAGCGGCGGCGCGGAGCGCAGCGGCAGCAGGAGGAGGAGGAGAAGGAGGAGGGGGGCGCAGGCCCGGGAGGGGGCACCGGGAGGAGGUGAGUGUCUCUGGUCGCCUCCUCCUCUCCCCCUUUUUCGCCCCCGCCUCCUUGUGGCGAUGAGAAGGAGGAGGACAGCGCCGAGGAGGAAGAGGCUGAUGGCGGCGGCGGAGCUCCGAGAGACCUCGGCUGGGUACGGGCCCGCCGUGGCGGGCUGGGGACUGCGUUUGUAGAGCUGUGAGUUCCCGAGAAUUCGCUGCAGCGGACGUGCCCGUCGGAUCAGUGUUGCUGUGCCCUCCUCAGGCCCGGCCCCUCGCACUUGCCCCUACCAUUUCUGUUGAGUCCGCAUCCCUCUCCGGCCGCCGCAACCGGGCGAAGAGAAAAAGGAACUUCCCCCACCCCCCUUGGGUGGCGGCGGAGCUCCCGAGCCCACCCUUAGGAGCGGGGCGGGGACCCCGGGUCGAAGAAGAGAUUUCCUCAGGAUUCUCGUUUUUCCUCGGCUCUAUCUCCGAAAAGAAUUAAAAAUGGCCGAGAAUGUGGUGGAACCUGGGCCGCCUUCAGCCAAGCGGCCUAAACUCUCGUCUCCGGCCCUCUCGGCGUCGGCCAGCGACGGUACAGAGCACUUAAGGAGGCAGUGUGCAUUCCUUUAAUCCCAGCUGUGAGCUCGAGACCAGCCUAGUCUACAGAGCAAGUUCCAGGACAGCCUGGACUGUUAUACAGAGAAUCCCGUUCUUGGAAAAAACAAAAACAACAACAACAAAAAAACGCAAAGGUGAGCACUUAAGUUAAGAACACACUCUGUAAAGAUGGGUGAUAGUUAUAGGACCUAUCACAAUUAAGUAGGGUAAAGAUCCCUCCUGUAGCCCUGCUGUGUGAGUAACUGGAUUGACUUUGUGUUAUGCCCCAACCCAGUCGCUUCUUCCCCAAUUUCAAAGGCACCAAGGAGAUAGUAUAUAAAGUAUACUUAUGUUGACCAUUAGGUUAAUGUAGAGAACUGGUAAGGAUGAUUAUUUUGCUACAGUUUUCCUGCCUCUGUCUCCCCAGUGUUGGGAUUACAGAAGCAAGUCACAAUUUUUUUUAAAUGUCUGUUUUAUUUUUCUAGGGUGGCAUUGUGUAAGUUACUUACCAUCCUAUUUAGAAAACUUGUAUGGAAUAAAAUUUUUUUUCCUAGCUCAGACCUUGGGAUUAUAUUUUAAUUUUUUUUUUUUUGUUAGGAAAUGUGUUUAUUAGAGUUGUUUUGGAAUCAGAUAGGUUAAACAGCUCCUUGGUUUAAUGAGGUAUUAUUGCUGAUUGUGGUGCAGUAUAGUAGAAUACUGUGUCCUGUACCUUAAAUUUCUCAAGCCCAUGGUAAAUUUACUGAUAAGACCUCAAGAAGGUUGUUUGGUUGGCAGUAAGAUAGUAAAUAACAUUUUUUUUUAAGUUGUAAGUCCUGUGUGUUAUAAUAUGGAUACCUUUUCCCAGUAGGAGCUUGUGUUUUGUUGCUUAAGCAGAGACUGUAUUAGCAUGCCUAGUGAAUUGAUACUAGGGAGGGUGAAGAGGAUUUCUGCCUUUGAUGCUUUUGGACAUUUUAUACCUUCUUUAGUCUAUUCAUUGAAGAAAGUAAUUUGAAACACUUGAAAAUCAAUGCAGCAUGGCAGUUGGGACACACUUUUUUAAUCUCAGCACUCAGACAAGAGCAUCUCAGUCUAGGUCAAGCUGGUCUACAGAGUGACUUCCAGGGCUACAUAGUGAAACUCUGUCUCGAAUCCCCCCCCCCCCAAAAAAAAAGAAAUAAAAAAAAAUCAA